RNAcentral lists this ribosomal RNA (449 nucleotides) under uncultured bacterium. Its description in RNAcentral is "partial 16S ribosomal RNA". It matches the Rfam family "Bacterial small subunit ribosomal RNA", at positions 29 to 523 of the family's 1533-position model. The record is from RNAcentral.
AGCGAACGCUGGCGGCAGGCCUAACACAUGCAAGUCGAACGGAUCCUUCGGGAUUAGUGGCGGACGGGUGAGUAACACGUGGGAACGUGCCCUUUGGUUCGGAACAACUCAGGGAAACUUGAGCUAAUACCGGAUGUGCCCUUCGGGGGAAGGAUUUAUCGCCAUUGGAGCGGCCCGCGUCUGAUUAGCUAGUUGGUGAGGUAAAGGCCCACCAAGGCGACGAUCAGUAGCUGGUCUGAGAGGAUGAUCAGCGACACUGGGACUGAGUCACGGCCCAGACGCCUACGGGAGGCAGCAGUGGGGAAUCUUACGCAAUGGGCGAAAGCCUGACGCAGCCAUGCCGCGUGAAUGAUGAAGGUCUUAGGAUUGUAAAAUUCUUUCGCCGGGGACGAUAAUGACGGUACCCGGAGAAGAAGCUCCGGCUAACUCCGUGCCAGCCGCCGCCGUAA